UGGCCCAUUUGGCCCUAUGCACAUUGGCAUUUGACACUUGGUUACUCUGUAUAGCAGAUGCAAAGAUAAAAGAAACUUUUAGGGAUAUCAGAAUACCUUUUUAUUGCAAACAAUUAAAACCUUCUGCAUAAAUCCACUAAAUUUCUUAGAUUACCAAUUAGCAUCAUCAUAAUUUUUGCUCAAGUAACUAUUUCUCUUUACUGGAUGAACAAAAUAAGCUUUUUUUUUUUUAACUAAAGAUGGAAAAAACAUCUCUCUUUCAUUUUUAUUCUCUACCAGCUUAACUAUAAAGUGACAGAAUUAAGACUUCAAGUCUUGGAUUAUCAACAAUGGAUUGGCUGAUUUUCACUAAGAAGAAUGACUGGCCAUAGCUGCUGGAAAGCUGCUCUUACAGAUGUUGGUGUUCUUCUUGCUGGGAAGCUGUUGAUUGCAGCUGGAGAAGUU
Molecule: long non-coding RNA, 444 nt
Filed under: Cyanistes caeruleus (blue tit)
Lineage: Eukaryota; Metazoa; Chordata; Aves; Passeriformes; Paridae
Description: lncRNA (ENSCCEG00000008636.1)
Source: RNAcentral